Molecule: ribosomal RNA, 301 nt
Filed under: uncultured bacterium
Lineage: Bacteria
Description: partial 16S ribosomal RNA
Rfam family: Bacterial small subunit ribosomal RNA
Source: RNAcentral
CAGCAGCCGCGGUAAUACGGAGGAUCCAAGCGUUAUCCGGAAUCAUUGGGUUUAAAGGGUCCGUAGGCGGUCUUGUAAGUCAGUGGUGAAAGCCCAUCGCUCAACGGUGGAACGGCCAUUGAUACUGCAGGACUUGAAUUAUUGGGAAGUAACUAGAAUAUGUAGUGUAGCGGUGAAAUGCUUAGAGAUUACAUGGAAUACCAAUUGCGAAGGCAGGUUACUACCAAUUGAUUGACGCUGAUGGACGAAAGCGUGGGUAGCGAACAGGAUUAGAUACCCGUGUAGUCCCUGUCUCUUAUAC